Molecule: ribosomal RNA, 565 nt
Filed under: Meloidogyne haplanaria
Lineage: Eukaryota; Metazoa; Nematoda; Chromadorea; Rhabditida; Meloidogynidae
Description: partial large subunit ribosomal RNA
Source: RNAcentral
AUUUGSUGGGAUGCAUUUACUUGCUUGGGGCUUGGGGAUGUCUGAGGCAGAUUUGUGUCCGCGGGUUUGAGGACAGCUUGCUGGUACCCAAACGGGGUUAGCAUUUUUUGUCUUGGACAUUUGAGUAUGGCUGACGGGCAUUUCCCGGCUUGAUCUGCGKGCAAGUGACGGUCGCAUGCCACACAUGGUUUUCAAUUAAAUCCGUCCAGUUAAUGCUCUCGGACUCCUUCCCCAUGUAAAAGGCGGGCAUCUAUCCCACCCGCCUUGAAACACCGACCAAGGACUUUAUCGAGUGCGCAAGUUUUUGGGCGAUAAAAACCUAAAAGUGAAAUGAAAGGAAAUGGCUCUUUAAAGCCUGAUGGGCGAUCUUGAAAAAAAGUGCAGCAUGGCCCCAUUCUAACUGUUUACAGUAGGGUGGAGGAAGAACGCACRCCGUGAGACCCGAAAGAUGGUGAAAUAUUCCUGAGCAGGACGAAGCCAGAGGAAACUCUGGUGGAAGUCCGAAGCGGUUCUGACGUGCAAAUCGAUCGUCUGACUUGGGUAUAGGGGCGAAAGACUAAUCGAA